CUCCAUCUGCGUGACAAAACACGGAAGUGCUCAGCUGUAUGGAAGCAAGUCUGUUGUUGACAGGUCUUUUCUUCUUCUUUUUUUUUAAAGGGCAUCACUACAGCAUUAGCAACGGAUAGAAAUGUCUCCUGUAGUAAAUAUAUAUUUUAUAUGAGGUUAUUAUCCGAUAUGUUUUUAGAUACUAAUUCAUAUUUCACCUGUUUUAUCUUGGGUGAUAAUCGCUGGUCAACUCGCUAGCCACCUUAACCAACGUUCAUUUACCAAUUCUGGACAGCCUAUGGAUUAUUACUCCCAGUUUUUUUUAAACUUGCAGUAUAACAAUAUAGAAUAUUGGAACUAUAAUUUAAAAGGAUGUCAGUUGAACUUGAUGUGUUUGUUGUUAACACCACCAUUAUGGAUGAGGAAGUGUAUCAGCUAUGGCUGGAUGGCUACACAGUGAAUGAUGCAGUGAAGGUUCGUAUGGAGGGAGGGGUAUUGGAGGGGUGUGAGGCCAGUGCUGAGGUUCUGCACAGUGACACCAUGGACCAGUACAGAACCUUCCAGAUGUGUGAGCGCCUCCUACACAGCCCUGUCAAGCUGGCCAAUCAGUUGUUGUUCCAGAUCCCACCUCAUCGCCAGGUCAUGCUCAUAGAGAGGUACUAUGCGUUCGAUAGCGUGUUUGUGCGAGAGGUCCUUGGGAAGAAGCUCUCAAAGGGGACCAAGAAGGACCUCGAUGACGUCAGUGCAAAGACUGGUGUCACACUGAAGAGCUGCAGGCGGCAGUUUGAUAACUUCAAGCGUGUAUUCAAAGUUGUGGAGGAACUGAAGGGACCCCUGGUGGAGAACAUUCGUCAGCACUUCCUUCUCUCUGACAAGCUGGCCAGGUAAAAGUAGAAAAUAGUGGAAUUUAAAUCUUGUAUCUAUCUGUUUUUUUUAUUUGUAUAAAACUCCCCUGUGUCUCCUCUUCUCAGGGAUUACGCUGCCAUCGUUUUCUUUGCCAAUAAUCGCUUUGAGACUGGGAAGAAGAAGCUGCACUAUCUUACAUUCCAGGACUUUGCCUUCUGUGCAGGGCAGCUCAUCAGCAACUGGACAGUGGGAGCAUUGGGUGAUUCCCUGGUCUAUCAGAUCUGCAGUUGUACAGUGCAAUCAGUCCUGAUUCCCUAUGAGACCCGCAUUAUAAUUGAAGUUCUGCAAACAAUUAUACGAUCCCAGCACUGUAAUCUAAUAUGACAACAUCAGAGGUCUGAAGUAGUUUUGUCUUCUCAGAUAACAUGGUGGAAGACAUGGACGUGGAUCUUGAGAAGGAGUUCUUACAAGAUCUAAAAGAACUGAAGAUUUUAAUCACUGACAGGGAUCUGCUGGACCAGCACAAGAGGCAUGAGAGUGUGGUUGAUUUGUUAUUGAUCGCCUGAUGUUUUGGUGUGCACGGCUCUCCGGGGGAAGACCAAAGCAUUUAAUGAGAUGGAAGCCAACUUCAAGAAUCUCUCCAGAGGCCUUGUCAACAUUGCUGCCAAACUAACCAACACAAAAGAAGUCAGAGACUUCUUCAUUGAUCUGGUGGAAAAGUUCAUUGAGCCGUGUCGGUCAGACAAAUGGACAGCAGGAGACAUGAGACUCUACCUCACUCACUACACUAACUCUGCACACGUACUCGACACAUUCAAACACCAGGUAGUGUGGGACAGGUACAUGGGAGUGAUAAAAAGCUGCAUCCUCAAAAUGUACCAUGACUGAGACGUAGACCUCGCUCAACUAUCUACUCGGAACUUUCUGUCCUCUUUUAUAUCGGAGUCAUGUCUUCUUUCCCUCUUUCUGUCUGCAGUCAUCAUGUAAAUCCUCCGCUCUGUCUGUCAGAUGUCUUCCUCCUCUAAUGCCAGUGCCCACAUUUCUCCAUCCUUCAUGCCGUUAUGCAGUUUUUUCCCCCCUCAGUCUCUUCUGACGACCUACUUUGCGACGUCAUCAUGUAUAUCACCUCAUUUUUAUUGUAAAUAAAGUCAACUGAUUUUAUACC
This is an RNA transcript of Oncorhynchus kisutch (coho salmon), 1990 nucleotides long. It is a transcript of the gene named acidic fibroblast growth factor intracellular-binding protein B-like, with no coding region annotated. The transcript is spliced from 9 exons. The record is from RefSeq and is a predicted model, not a curated record. Lineage: Eukaryota; Metazoa; Chordata; Actinopteri; Salmoniformes; Salmonidae.